UAGGGAAUCUUCGGCAAUGGGGGCAACCCUGACCGAGCAACGCCGCGUGAGUGAAGAAGGUUUUCGGAUCGUAAAGCUCUGUUGUAAGAGAAGAACGUGUGUGAGAGUGGAAAGUUCACACAGUGACGGUAACUUACCAGAAAGGGACGGCUAACUACGUGCCAGCAGCCGCGGUAAUACGUAGGUCCCGAGCGUUGUCCGGAUUUAUUGGUCGUAAAGCGAGCGCAGGCGGUUUAAUAAGUCUGAAGUUAAAGGCAGUGGCUUAACCAUUGUUCGCUUUGGAAACUGUUAAACUUGAGUGCAAAAGGGGAGAGUGGAAUUCCAUGUGUAGCGGUGAAAUGCGUAGAUAUAUGGAGGAACACCGGUGGCGAAAGCGGCUCUCUGGUCUGUAACUGACGCUGAGGAUCGAAAGCGUGGGGAGCAAACAGG
RNAcentral lists this ribosomal RNA (429 nucleotides) under bacterium. RNAcentral's name for it is "partial 16S ribosomal RNA". It matches the Rfam family "Bacterial small subunit ribosomal RNA", at positions 355 to 776 of the family's 1533-position model. The record is from RNAcentral.